RNAcentral lists this microRNA precursor (198 nucleotides) under Oryza meridionalis. RNAcentral's name for it is "MIR812 microRNA precursor family". It matches the Rfam family "MIR812 microRNA precursor family". Lineage: Eukaryota; Viridiplantae; Streptophyta; Magnoliopsida; Poales; Poaceae. The record is from Rfam by way of RNAcentral.
UUUAAGCGCAGUCAUGAGUUUUCAUGUCCAACUUUGAUCAUCCGUGUUAUUUGAAAUUUUUUAUGAUUAAUAUUUUUAUUGUUAUUAGAUGAUAAAACAUGAAUAGUACUUUAUGCGUGGCUUAUGUUUCUUUAUUUUUUUAAAAAAAAUAAAACGAACGAUUAAAGUUUGACAUAGAAAUUCAUGGCUACGUUUAAA